UUAACAAUUUAACGGCAGUGUUUCAAUUGAACGACACAUUAUAUAUAUUCUCUUUCAUCUUAUAAUUAUUUAAUUCGUUUUGCUUAAUUUUACACGCUUUAAAAGCGUCGUUCAUUUCUGAUUUUGUACCAACACGGUGCAUUCUGGGAACUGAAGUAGACCGCGUUAUUCUUCCGCUUUAAAGUUUCUCACCAUUCGUUAAUCGCUGUCUUCAAAUAAAGCGACAUUAUUCCUGGGUUGCUUUCGUCUGAAGACCUGAGCAGCGAUAAAAGUGGUGAGGUCGAACAACCGCAAUGGCAUUCCGCUCAGUGACAAGUAAAAUGCGGUGCUGUCACAAGAGAACGCGGAGUUACACAACUUCAGUUUGGCCUUGUCCAGCCUGCAGCAGAAGGUGGUGGAUCAGCCCACACUUAACAGGGAACUCCAAGCUAUCAUGGCCAGAGACUGCAGUCAGGUCAUGGCGGCAGGAAUGUCCCAAGAUGGAAUCCAUACCUUCUUUAUUGGGUCCGACAGCUUUGAGGCUUACUGCAACAUGAGCCUGGGCAGGGGAGGGUGGACCGUGAUCCAGAGGAGAAAGGACGGACGGCACUGUUGAUUUCUUUCGUGGUUGGAACGAGUAUCGAAAGGGAUUUGGUGACCUCGCGGGAGAGCACUGGCUCGGUCUGAAGCACACACCUCAAAGACAUCCUUCUUGUCAA
Molecule: long non-coding RNA, 698 nt
Organism: Syngnathus typhle (broad-nosed pipefish)
Lineage: Eukaryota; Metazoa; Chordata; Actinopteri; Syngnathiformes; Syngnathidae
Exons: 5
Source: RefSeq, a predicted model, not a curated record